This is a long non-coding RNA of Homo sapiens (human), 1184 nucleotides long. RefSeq lists it as uncharacterized. The record is from RefSeq and is a predicted model, not a curated record. NCBI's taxonomy places the organism in Eukaryota, Metazoa, Chordata, Mammalia, Primates, Hominidae. The transcript is spliced from 3 exons.
CACUCCGCCAUUUUCCUCCGGAAGUGUGGCACCCAGAGGCGGUCCUGUAGCUGGGCCGGCUUGGGGCUUGGUUCUAUGUCCCUGUGGGUUGGUGCAAGGGCCAGGAGGAACCCGUGAGCCUCAGGGGAUCCCAGGGGGCCGGACCAGUGUUCCCUAGUUGUGGGAACAGACGCGUGGGCGCAUCGCGGGAGGGCAGGGCCUGAAGAGCAGGUGCGGGCUGCGGACCCUGGCGGGGGCUGGGAGGACAGGCGUGGGGUCCCAGCAGUGACGCGGGUUCUAGAGGCACAGGAGCGGGUAGGAGAGGCCGGUGGCCCUGGGCCCGGAGUCUGCAGGCUGCGCUCCUGUCCUGCCGCUGAGGGACCCGGUUACCAACCCGCAUGACGCUCAGUUUGCCCAUCUGUCCCAGUGCUAACACACAGUUCUCGGGAGACGUUCCCCAUUCCCAGAGGAGUAGUGUGAAACGCGUGCGCCUCUAGUCUUAAACUUGACGUUUGUAUUAGUUGGGUUUCCUGGUGUCUCUUUAGCAAGUGAAGUUUCUGGUUCCCUCCUUCACUGUGUGACCUGCCUAGUCCUCCUGGGUCGCAUUUACAGAAGUUUAUACGAGACCUAGUUUCCAGGGAAGAACUCACUGAUUCCGCGAGGGAGAUGGCGUAAUAGAUGAUGGUCGUCAGCCUUAAGGGUACUUCAGUCUUAACUGUGUGUUAGAAAGUUUGAAAGGGAGGGUUCCCUAUGAAUAAGAAGCACACUUGAAAGAACAGCCGUCUGGUCUAACCUCUCACUGGUGCUUCAGAGGAGGAAAAAAGGUCACAGCUAUGUUUCCAGUGUCCUCUGGGUGUUUCCAAGAGCAACAAGAAACGAAUAAAUCUCUGCCAUAGGAGUUUUAGCCAAUUCAGAGGCCUUGCUCCCUACAAUUUGGAACAUUCCUUUGGAUUUGACCAAGUCAGGAAGAGAUGGGAGAAAAGUGAAACAACAACAAUAAAACCCCAAGCAUAAACAAACAAAGAGUUAAGCAAAACAACAAAUGCACAAUUCAUAUGAUUACUGAGUGUUCUAAUGGUAAGGAGAAAUUAAAAGCAGAAAUUAAAAGCAGCUGGUGAGUAAUCUUAAAUUUUAUUCAUUAAGGAAAAAUUUUAAGACAAAACUCUAAUUCAGCUACUUACCUGGAAAUAAGGCUCAGGCUGGUG